GAGUGCGGUAAGUCAUACCAGCACUAAAGCACCGGAUCCCAUCAGAACUCCGAAGUUAAGCGUGCUUGGGCGAGAGUAGUACUAGGAUGGGUGACCUCAUGGGAAGUCCUCGUGUUGCAUUCC
RNAcentral lists this ribosomal RNA (123 nucleotides) under Triticum aestivum (bread wheat). Lineage: Eukaryota; Viridiplantae; Streptophyta; Magnoliopsida; Poales; Poaceae. The record is from RNAcentral.